GAUGAACGCUGGCGGCGUGCCUAAUACAUGCAAGUCGAGCGAACGGACGAGAAGCUUGCUUCUCUGAUGUUAGCGGCGGACGGGUGAGCAACACGUGGAUAACCUACCUAUAAGACUGGGAUAACUUCGGGAAACCGGAGCUAAUACCGGAUAAUAUUUUGAACCGCAUGGUUCAAAAGUGAAAGACGGUCUUGCUGUCACUUAUAGAUGGAUCCGCGCUGCAUUAGCUAGUUGGUAAGGUAACGGCUUACCAAGGCAACGAUGCAUAGCCGACCUGAGGGGGUGAUCGGCCACACUGGAACUGAGACACGGUCCAGACUCCUACGGGAGGCAGCAGUAGGGAAUCUUCCGCAAUGGGCGAAAGCCUGACGGAGCAACGCCGCGUGAGUGAUGAAGGUCUUCGGAUCGUAAAACUCUGUUAUUAGGGAAGAACAUAUGUGUAAGUAACUGUGCACAUCUUGACGGUACCUAAUCAGAAAGCCACGGCUAACUACGUG
This 497-nucleotide ribosomal RNA is filed under the name uncultured bacterium. RNAcentral describes it as "partial 16S ribosomal RNA". It matches the Rfam family "Bacterial small subunit ribosomal RNA", at positions 28 to 507 of the family's 1533-position model. The record is from RNAcentral.